CAACCUGCCCUUUUGAACGGGAUAACCCAGCGAAAGCUGGACUAAUACCGUAUACGACAUAUUAUUCGCAUGUUUAAUAUGUGAAAGGAUGCUCUUCGGAGCACUCACAAAAGGAUGGGCCUGCGUUCCAUUAGUUAGUUGGUGAGGUAACGGCUCACCAAGGCAGCGAUGGAUAGCUGGUUUGAGAGAGUGAUCAGCCACACUGGGACUGAGAUACGGCCCAG
Molecule: ribosomal RNA, 224 nt
Filed under: uncultured bacterium
Lineage: Bacteria
Description: partial 16S ribosomal RNA
Rfam family: Bacterial small subunit ribosomal RNA
Source: RNAcentral